GCCCGCUCAGAAACUACAAAGGAAUUGACGGGGCCCGGCACAAGCGGUGGAGUAUGUGGUUUAAUUCGAUGCAACGCGAAGAACCUUACCUGGUCUUGACAUCCCGGAGACCCUUAGGAAACUAGGGGGUGCUUCCAUCUGGAAGAAUCUGGAGACAGGUGCUGCAUGGCUGUCGUCAGCUCGUGUCGUGAGAUGUUGGGUUAAGUCCCGCAACGAGCGCAACCCUUGCCUUUAGUUGCCAGCAGUUCGGCUGGGCACUCUAAAGGGACUGCCGGUGUUAAACCGGAGGAAGGUGGGGAUGACGUCAAGUCCUCAUGGCCUUUAUGACCAGGGCUACACACGUACUACAAUGGCCGAUACAAAGGGCAGCGACACUGCGAGGUGAAGCCAAUCCCGUAAAAUCGGUCUCAGUCCGGAUUGGAGUCUGCAACUCGACUCCAUGAAGUUGGAAUCGCUAGUAAUCGUGGAUCAGCAUGCCACGGUGAAUACGUUCCCGGGCCUU
RNAcentral lists this ribosomal RNA (502 nucleotides) under uncultured Desulfobulbus sp. Its description in RNAcentral is "bacterial SSU rRNA". It matches the Rfam family "Bacterial small subunit ribosomal RNA", at positions 903 to 1382 of the family's 1533-position model. The record is from RNAcentral. Lineage: Bacteria; Pseudomonadati; Thermodesulfobacteriota; Desulfobulbia; Desulfobulbales; Desulfobulbaceae.